CGGACCGGCGCACGGGUGAGUAACGCGUAUGCAACUUACCUAUCAGGAGGGGAUAACCCGGCGAAAGUCGGACUAAUACCGCAUGAAGCAGGGGCCCCGCAUGGGGAUAUUUGCUAAAGAUUCAUCGCUGAUAGAUAGGCAUGCGUUCCAUUAGGCAGUUGGCGGGGUAACGGCCCACCAAACCGACGAUGGAUAGGGGUUCUGAGAGGAAGGUCCCCCACAUUGGUACUGAGACGCGGACCAA
This 244-nucleotide ribosomal RNA is filed under the name uncultured bacterium. RNAcentral's name for it is "partial 16S ribosomal RNA". It matches the Rfam family "Bacterial small subunit ribosomal RNA", at positions 91 to 334 of the family's 1533-position model. The record is from RNAcentral.